RNAcentral lists this ribosomal RNA (253 nucleotides) under uncultured bacterium. Its description in RNAcentral is "partial 16S ribosomal RNA". It matches the Rfam family "Bacterial small subunit ribosomal RNA", at positions 524 to 776 of the family's 1533-position model. The record is from RNAcentral.
UACAGAGGGGGCAAGCGUUGUUCGGAAUUACUGGGCGUAAAGGGCGCGUAGGCGGCCGCCUAAGUCAGACGUGAAAUCCCUCGGCUCAACCGGGGAACUGCGUCUGAUACUGGGUGGCUUGAAUCCGGGAGAGGGAUGCGGAAUUCCAGGUGUGGCGGUGAAAUGCGUAGAUAUCUGGAGGAACACCGGUGGCGAAGGCGGCAUCCUGGACCGGCAUUGACGCUGAGGCGCGAAAGCCAGGGGAGCAAACGGG